This is a long non-coding RNA of Hevea brasiliensis (rubber tree), 264 nucleotides long. RefSeq lists it as uncharacterized. The transcript has 2 exons. The record is from RefSeq and is a predicted model, not a curated record. NCBI's taxonomy places the organism in Eukaryota, Viridiplantae, Streptophyta, Magnoliopsida, Malpighiales, Euphorbiaceae.
GAGGUGAUUCAACUUCCAGAGGCUUCCUCGUAAAUUUUUGGAAUUUUUGAGACACAGAUAAACUUCGGGUGAUCGAGGUCAGCUAUUUUUCUACAUCCAGCAGCCACAAUAGUCAUCGGUGUACUGUGAGUAAAAUAUUAAUUUUAAUUGUAAUUUCACUAUUAUUAUAUGUUCAAGCAUGCCCAUGCAUCACUUAUAUGCAUAUAUUUAUGUAGUUAAACUCUAGGCACGAUUUAUAUUGCAUUGAUAACUGUUAAAGUGCCA